This is a long non-coding RNA of Pyrus x bretschneideri (Chinese white pear), 972 nucleotides long. RefSeq lists it as uncharacterized. The transcript has 2 exons. Lineage: Eukaryota; Viridiplantae; Streptophyta; Magnoliopsida; Rosales; Rosaceae. The record is from RefSeq and is a predicted model, not a curated record.
CAGAAAUGGUGGUCCUUCAAGUCUUACUGAAAGAUGGAGAUCUGGUGGACAAUGUGACUGUGGAGGUUGGGAUCUGGGGUGCCCACUCACGGUACUCAAAACCAAAUCAAGCAGAGAAGACAUUUUGCCUCAAUCCGACACUCAGGGGGAGUGCAAGUCAUUUGAAUUAAAUAGAAUGGGUUCAGAGCAUGGUCCUCCUGCAUGGAGGAUGUUGAAUGUCCACGAUGAUUUGUAUUUUGUUCAUUUUCAACCAUCUCUGUCAGUUCUGCAGUCUUUUGCAAUUGCAGUAGCGAUUAUCCAUACACAGAGUCCAGCCCUCCGCCCCAACUCCACCCCAAAUGUACAGGCAUUUUAAGUACCAAAGUCCAGGGUUUGAAAAUUAUGUAGUUUUUGUAACUUUUACUUUAUACAGCAGUUGGUAAUUUACAGUACAUAUGUUUUUAUACCUUGGAAUUGAGAUGAUUUCUGUCGAGUUAUAUGGUUUUCAGUUACCAUGAUAUAGUGAUAUCACAGUUUUCUGAUACUAGGUUCCUAGGCUAUAAACCCUUGUAACCUGCUCCCUUCUAUUGAAUGUACGAGAUUGUGAUAUUAGAUUAAGUGAUGGCAAAACAUCAAGCCAAUUGAACAAAAUUUUCAUCUUAUGUAUACCUCCCUUCUUAACCUGCUUGCUGUGGUCACCAUUAGUUCGUUGAAGACCAUCUUCUUACAUGGAAUGCAUCAUUAGUUCGUUGAAGCAGGUCAAGAGUUGUGGAUUGCUGUGAUAUGUCUGGAUUGUUGAUCUACUACGAGUUUAAUAUCGUGGAUGUUAAUUAAUCUAGCAUAUGCGUUUAAAGUGUGGUUUUAUGGUUGGAAAUUUCCUUGAGACAUUUUUCCUCUUUGAGGUAUUGUAACACUUAAUUACUGAGAAAAUUCAUGUUCGGCAGUACUAGUGAGAAGUCAAUAACAGGCAUGAUAAAUUGUCCUUGUUGCUUA